Molecule: long non-coding RNA, 792 nt
Filed under: Volvox carteri
Lineage: Eukaryota; Viridiplantae; Chlorophyta; Chlorophyceae; Chlamydomonadales; Volvocaceae
Description: long non-coding RNA (VCAR_LNC001674)
Source: RNAcentral
CAGGUGGGCAAUGCGCAGUUGAGCUGCAGGUGACCCUGCAUACCGUCAUCGACAGUACAGCUCUCAUCGAUGGAAGGACGCAUGGUAUAACGGCGGCACAGAGUGCAGCAGGUUGUUGUCAUACAAUCUGAAGGCCAGGCACCACAUAUUCCAGGCUCAGGGAGCGGUUUCAACUGGGUUGAACUUUAGGUCCUCUGCUGCAGACGCGGCCCAGGUGCCUGAGGGACAGGCACAAGGAGUGAUAUGAUUGCCUGAGCUUAAUACACGGCCUGGUUAAUAGCACCUGGUUAAAAGCCGCCAGGGCAUCUCCACGCAUCCGCAAAGUAUCCUCGCUGGUCUUUAGUCCGUAGCAGCAGACAAGCGGAGAAGUUCGUUUGAAAAUAUAUAUCGUAACAAAAUAUGAUAUAUGGGCCUUGCCUUAGGCCUCCUGUGCCCUUUCUCUGGACAACCCUACAUGUCCGUAACCCUGUCUAUCGCGUACCUCGCCCGUAAUGCAUCGCUUCGCGUAUCAUCAGAUUAAGGCAGGAGCAUAAUUGCAUUAUGCAAAUGAAACUGUGAUUGGCAGUUUUACCAUGUUUGACGUUUUGUCUAUGGUAACUCAAGGCGUGCAAAGUGGCGCAAAUUGCAUUUAUAAACCUUUUUAGAAAGUAAAACAAAUGUGCUUCAUUAAAUGAGUGCGUUAUGUAUCAAGUAAGGAAUGUGACAAAGCGCUGAAGCCCAAAGGUACGGCAGCUCGGAUAGUGUACGGACUUCGAGCGUGUCCGCAAACGCUGGCUGCUAACGACGGAGCAA